Molecule: ribosomal RNA, 998 nt
Filed under: Janibacter sp.
Lineage: Bacteria; Bacillati; Actinomycetota; Actinomycetes; Micrococcales; Intrasporangiaceae
Description: bacterial SSU rRNA
Rfam family: Bacterial small subunit ribosomal RNA
Source: RNAcentral
UGCGGUCUUACCAUGCAAGUCGACGGUGAACCUUGGAGCUUGCUUCGAGGGGAUCAGUGGCGAACGGGUGAGUAACACGUGAGUAACCUGCCCCGGACUCUGGAAUAAGCGCUGGAAACGGCGUCUAAUACCGGAUACGAGACGCAACCGCAUGGUUAGUGUCUGGAAAGUUUUUCGGUCUGGGAUGGACUCGCGGCCUAUCAGCUUGUUGGUGAGGUAAUGGCUCACCAAGGCGACGACGGGUAGCCGGCCUGAGAGGGCGACCGGCCACACUGGGACUGAGACACGGCCCAGACUCCUACGGGAGGCAGCAGUGGGGAAUAUUGCACAAUGGGCGAAAGCCUGAUGCAGCGACGCCGCGUGAGGGAUGACGGCCUUCGGGUUGUAAACCUCUUUCAGCAGGGAAGAAGCGAAAGUGACGGUACCUGCAGAAGAAGCACCGGCUAACUACGUGCCAGCAGCCGCGGUAAUACGUAGGGUGCGAGCGUUGUCCGGAAUUAUUGGGCGUAAAGAGCUUGUAGGCGGUAUGUCGCGUCUGCUGUGAAAAUCCGGGGCUCAACCCCGGACUUGCAGUGGGUACGGGCAGACUAGAGUGUGGUAGGGGAGACUGGAAUUCCUGGUGUAGCGGUGAAAUGCGCAGAUAUCAGGAGGAACACCGAUGGCGAAGGCAGGUCUCUGGGCCACUACUGACGCUGAGAAGCGAAAGCAUGCGGAGCGAACAGGAUUAGAUACGCUGGUAGUCCAUGCCGUAAACGUUGGGCGCUAGGUGUGGGACUCAUUCCACGAGUUCCGUGCCGCACUAACGCAUUAAGCGCCCCGCCUGGGGAGUACGGCCGCACGGCUAAACUCAAGGAAUUGACGGGGCCCGUACAAGCGGCGGAGCAUGCGGAUUAAUUCGAUGCAUCGCGAGAACCUUACCAAGGCUUGACAUAUACCGGCAACACCCAGAGAUGGGUGCCCCGUUUUGGUCGGUAUACAGGUGGUGCAUGGAUUGUCGU